Molecule: long non-coding RNA, 910 nt
Filed under: Linum usitatissimum (flax)
Lineage: Eukaryota; Viridiplantae; Streptophyta; Magnoliopsida; Malpighiales; Linaceae
Description: long non-coding RNA (LUSI_LNC002873)
Source: RNAcentral
CUCCUCCUGCGCCUCCACCACGAACCCCAUGUCGAUCUUCACGCUCGUCACGCAUCCCAACGCCACGUGCAGGAUCGCCGUCGCUAUGGCGGAGCUACCUAUGUCGACGUCGAUCUCCAAAUAGUUAGGACCUCUGUGGUAAUUGCAGGUUAGAGCCUUCCCCAGCAGGCACGCGUUGUAAUUCCCCACUGUUUUCCGUACCACCCACGGCCCUUUCACUAUCCGAUUCACGAUUUUGAAUCGCUGAUUCCGGUACGCGUCGUCGCCGUACAUGAAUUUGUGCAGGAGGCUCCCCGGAGGAAUCGGAUCUGGAGCCGCGAAGUAGAAGACCGCGCUGUGUUGGUCUUUCCCCGGGACCUGGAGGUUCACCGCGAAUACGAAGCUCUUGAGCGAUCUCCCUUCCGAUUGCGCCUUGCGGAGGGCCUGAGCGACUCGAUUGUCCGGGUGGCCGAGUACGUUGUCGAGUUUGGUGGUGGACUUUAGCCAAUCCAUGCCGGCAGGGGAGAGCAGGUAGUCUCCCGCGGGGGAUUUUUGUUUCUUGUUAAAGUAAUUCUUAGAGCGGAGAGAGAAUAGGUUACCGGGAGGUGAAGACCAGCCGUUGGUUCCGUUGUCGAGGUCUACGUGGCGGAGAGAUCCGCCGUUGAUUGACUCCGCGAUCCAAUCGGGAGCGGUGGAGCUUAUGGUUGUGGCGGAGUCGGCGUCGGGAAUCCCGACCUUGGAAAUAGAUCUGGAAACGGCGGAGGCGGAGCUCCGGUGCUUCUGUUUGGAUGGGCUCAUGGCGCAAUUCUAUGUUGGGAUUUCUGUAUCUUUUUGCUCUCUCUGUGGUUUAAUCUGUUUGCUUUUUGUGUGUUCCGGUAUGUGUUAUUAUUACUCCGGGAAGGAGGAGGAGGAUGGAGAAGGAGCGGAGGAC